Long non-coding RNA from Coregonus clupeaformis (lake whitefish), 214 nucleotides. RefSeq lists it as uncharacterized. NCBI's taxonomy places the organism in Eukaryota, Metazoa, Chordata, Actinopteri, Salmoniformes, Salmonidae. The record is from RefSeq and is a predicted model, not a curated record. The transcript has 3 exons.
AUACAAUUGAGAUUCUCCCAGAGGAUAUCCAGGCUCAAAGCAUCAGUCCACCAGCUGAAUACUCAGUCAGACUGGUGAAUGGGACCACUUCCUGUUCUGGGACAGUGGAAGUCUUCUCCAGAGGAGAGUGGUCAGGUCUAUGUACUAUAGGGUGGAGUAUGAUAGAGACUAAGGUUGUGUGUAGAGAGCUGGGCUGUGGGAAUGCUGUAGCUGA